Long non-coding RNA from Neofelis nebulosa (Clouded leopard), 920 nucleotides. RefSeq lists it as uncharacterized. The record is from RefSeq and is a predicted model, not a curated record. The transcript is spliced from 3 exons. NCBI's taxonomy places the organism in Eukaryota, Metazoa, Chordata, Mammalia, Carnivora, Felidae.
ACCAAGCUGGUAUAAGCUGAAGUGAUGCCACUUCCUGGUUAAACCUCUAAAAUCUAUUCUGGGCUUAUCCAUUUUUCCCUGAGAUCUGAGAGAUGGUGUGGAUCAUACCGGUCACUGGAGAGUCUGGGACAGAAGUCUUAAGUUGAAUACGGCAAGGCAGCCGAUCAGCUCCAGGGCCCUUACCUUGGAAGUGAGACAUGAAAGAGAAACCUCAUUUAAGCUACUUUUUCUUCCUUGCAGCAUAUUAACCUACAGUCAAACACUAUGGUCUUUUCUAAGUUUUCAUCAUCAAUCAUGUUCCAAAUUAACACGCACAAAGAAGGACUGAAGAAUCCUAAUGAGGAUUCUUCCUCAUUAGAAGGUAGGGGAGGAGAAAGGAUUGGAAUAUUUACAGAUUCUUGGUUUUGUUUUUGUCACAUACACAGUUAACAUGUAGUUUUGUGCCAAUUUUGUUUUUUACUCACAGUUCCCCAAGUUACUGAAAAAAUACUUUUAGCACCUUUAUUCUGCAUGACAAAUUACUGCAGAAUAGUGGCAGUCACUGAAGAGAAGUUGACUUUUGUGGAAACGUCACUGAAGCAGUGAGAAGUUGUCUGCACAGAUCACUGCCAUUGUAUCCAGUCCCCAUAAUUGUGCCUAGUAUGGUAUUGGGGCUUGAUGAUUAUUUAUUGGACUAACGACUGAAGGUGCUGCACAACCUUUUGAAGAAAGAGCACACACGACCUCACCUAUCUCAGUAUGCCACUUCAAGGUGACGCAUCAUGUUCAUCACCAAAGGGCUCAUCAUGUCUAUAUCAAGAGGACCAUAAAAAUGCAAAAUGUAACAGCGUUUCUAAAGCAAUUAGCUUGGAACAAAGAAAAGUCAUUAUGAAAACACAGAUACUGUGCUUUGGGGGAAGAAUGCCAAGUCCUUGGUUCAG